This 203-nucleotide long non-coding RNA is filed under the name Musa acuminata (dwarf banana). Its description in RNAcentral is "long non-coding RNA (MACU_LNC008625)". Lineage: Eukaryota; Viridiplantae; Streptophyta; Magnoliopsida; Zingiberales; Musaceae. The record is from RNAcentral.
CGAGGUUGAAAGGCGAUGGUUGCGACUAUUGUGACCCAAGGAAGCAAUCGCUGAGUAGCUGGGUUGAGGCUAUGGUGAUGGCAACCAACAACUGCAGCAGCGGAGGCAAAACAAGAGGGAGGUGGCGUUGGAGUGGCCGGGGUUGAGAAGAGAAUCAGUGGUGUAUACGCUGUUGGGGUUGAGGUAGGGCAGCGUACUUGCUG